UAAUCUCGGUUACUCAGAUCAAUCGACCUGGCGUAUACGUUAGUACACAUGAACUUGUACUGGUAUUCAUCUCAUUCAUCGGAACACAUUUUCUUAUACAUAUAUAUAUAUAUAUAUAUAAUAUUCUUAUGAGGAAAAUCGUUGAUAAUCAAAUAUAUAUACAUACAAACCAAAAUUACAGUUAUUUCGAACCCAAGAAAGACAGUAGAAACCCAAUAUUCUAGAUUUUGGGUUGUAACGUAAUCAUGCAACGCGAAAAUGAUUCGUACACAGAUCAUUUGCAUAUCUCAGCAUGGUGGUCGCAUUCCAGAUACAUGCAUAUAAUGGAGUAUAUUUGUGUAGAUAUUUGCAAAUAUCAGACUGUGCAAGCUCGAACACAUGCAUAACAACACAACAGGAUCAGGACCAACUUCCACCCCAGCCUUGCCUACAGAAAAUGGAUACCAGACAUGCAUUUUCAGGCAUGAAGGUGAACGUUCGACAGGAAAAUGGCCUUGAACAUGAUAACUAGUCAGAGUGGAAGCUCCAUCCGCAUGCCCAUGUUGAAAAUAGACUCGGCAACCGGCACUGGUAGGCGCUGAUGAAAACUCCGGUUCACCUCUCCCGCACAGAAGUCCAAAGUUAAUGAACUAGGCUUGAUAGUAUGACCGCGAAAUCGAAUCAGUGAAGCCAAAAAAAGCAAAGCAUCUAGUGCAAGAACUAAGAAAUAUUUUCUAAAGGUCUCAUCAAAAACGCAACCUGAAAACUGCUGCUGAAGUGCUUGCCAUGCAAUUCGUGCAGCUCCAGCUCGUGGCAACGUUGCCCUUGUUUCAUUUUCCCCGUUACUUUCUUAAUUUUUUUCGUUGCGUCUUCUAGCUGUGAGGCAGACGUCAGCAGCAACUCAAAAACGACCUCUUCUUUAAACCAGCAAUAUCUGUGUACAUAAAAGGGAAAAUUAACUUCCUGAUUUUACCUUUGAACCACGCAUAAUAGGCAUUUCUUUCACUUGCAAUAUGUUGGGUUGUCAUGAACCAUUCGUUAUUGUAUAGAUCUGAUUUUUAUGAACCUUACAUUUAGAUAAUUGAUUUGGAUAACAUGAACUCACCGAACAGCAGAUUUACAUUCCACGUUAUAGAACACAAUAAACAGAGCUGCACCAGGGUAGGUUAGAACUCUAGAGGCACAGCCUUUAAACAUCUCGGGUAUCGUGUAAAUCAGUGCACUGAUAUGGACUAACCAUCAAUUUGGCAGCAACGACCCCGAACAAGCUGCCAAAAGGUGUGGCAAAAAGAAGAGCCAGCUUCAAAUCUGUCUCUAUUAGUGGUACAAAUUUGAAAGAUGCUGGCAUGGAACAAGACAACGAGCAGGAAUAAUUGAGGAACAGUCUCAUGGAUAUGAACACAGCGAUUUUCUCCCCAUCACAUGCAUAAUUUCCUCCAACUACCUUUACUAUAUGAUUCUAUUUUCAGAAUUGCUGAAUUUAUUGAACCUUUUACAACAUUCGUCCGUUAAAGUUCAUAACGAAACCUAUCGAACGUUGAUUAUUGUUAGAAUCCAGAUUCGGGCGACAGGUUCUGGCCAUGAAUCAAACUUAAUCAUUGCUCAAAUGAUCUCCGUACGAGCUCAAAUUAUUCAUCUGAUUUAUGCCACCCGACCCCAAAUGCUUUACAACAGACCGCUCUGCAUUAUGGUUUUUAUGAAACCGUCCUCCUCAACGUCUUCAAGAUAAACAGUUCGGCGAGCAUUUUUUUUCAUCACGUUUCAGUGAUAAUUAAAACCAAUCAUUUCGACAGUUCAAAAGCGACACAUCAAUAUUCCAGACAAUCUGAAUGAUAAAUUGAGACACGAAGUUGCAUAGUAGUCCAAAAACUGACCGAAUCAUGAACACUAUUCCUGACUUCCAGUACAGUUAUGGGGUGAUGAAAUCAGAAAACUGCUAUCAAAGGUCCACAGACGCGGUGGUUAUGAAGGAGGCAAUGCACAAGCACAAGACGAAGGUUCGAAGCAUGCAAUUUGUGGGACCCAACAACGGCAAAUGCAUUACCAGAUGGGAGAGACCAUCAUGCACUUCUUCUGGUGGUCUGAGUAUGGGAAAACUCCUAUUCAAGUCGCACACCCUCACAAAACAUGCAAGAAGCAUCUUCCUAAGCCAUUGCAAAGCACCGAGAACCCAACACAAGGAGGCACACGAGUGGGAGUUCCACCUUAUCCCCGAAGUUCCUGAUGGACUUUUUUCUUCAAGUCCAGCAUUUGGUAGGGCUUGAGCACCGAAACUCUACAUGGAGGUUAGUCCAGCUACAUGAGUUGGGCAUCGCCAACCAACACCCAGCUGCUCAUAGUCCCCAAAAACGGAUAUGCUUGGGCUCACUUUGCGGCUGGAAAACCUUCACAACCUGGAUCCUUGCAUGUUCCAAUGAAGCAUGAAAAACGCACGCAUUUCUUCGCAAUAAGUUCACAAACCACAAUGUAAAAAAAAUCUCCACAGGCAAAUAGAAUCACUCUUCUUAUCAGCAUUAGCACUGAGAGCAAACAGAGUGGGAAGCACAUCCCCACAACCAUUCAAAUG
RNAcentral lists this long non-coding RNA (2545 nucleotides) under Physcomitrium patens. Its description in RNAcentral is "long non-coding RNA (PPAT_LNC004614)". Lineage: Eukaryota; Viridiplantae; Streptophyta; Bryopsida; Funariales; Funariaceae. The record is from RNAcentral.